This 835-nucleotide long non-coding RNA is filed under the name Panax ginseng (ginseng). RNAcentral describes it as "long non-coding RNA (PGIN_LNC005344)". Lineage: Eukaryota; Viridiplantae; Streptophyta; Magnoliopsida; Apiales; Araliaceae. The record is from RNAcentral.
AAAAGCAGUAGUAUUAUUAUUAUGGGAGCACAGCCAGGUGGGAGGAAAACAUUUCCACUAAACCCAAAACCACCUGCAAUGGCCAUAUCACCGUGCAAAGCUUGAUGCCACCAUGAACAAAACUCACAUCUUCUUCCACUUCCUUCUCAUCCUUUCUGUUAUUUGUACUAUAGACUACACUCUCUCCUCAACUCCACGCCGGACGAGCAGCGUUAACAGCAAGGACUCGUUGAUGUGGUCUCGGAGUAAUAGUAGUAGCAGUUGCAGCACUAGUGCAAGAACAAGCAUUAGUGAUGCUUCCGAGAGAAAAAUAGUGAUCAGUCGAGCCUCGGUGGUUGGGGCCAAGAUCAGACCAUAACUUUCCGGCGAGGGACUGAGUUUCGGUGGGAGAGUUUUCUUCCGUCUGAUUAUCAAGAACUCAUUGCCCGGUCGGUUGAUUAUUGGGAUUCGUGCCGGAAGAUUCCCCCGUCUUUUGCUUCUAGGAAGGAAUUGUAUCUCUAUCUAUCUGAUAAUUCUCUCAUCAUUGAUGGUGGCGCUAAGGGAAACUUAUCUUGACAGAUUAUCCUUGAGGUAUGAGAAAGUGUUGUCAGCCGUUCAAGGAGUUUUCACCAGUUAACGAACACCACACAUGCAUGGCCGGAUUCACGAUCGCUCCUUCACCGGAUUCAACUUGCCGGCCAGCUCAGAACUAUCAAACUAGCCAUCUUCUCCGUUGAAGAACUGCUCGUUGUUACUUCCAACAUGAUGCUAGCCCAAAACGCCGAGUAAGCUGCAGAUGGCUACUCGUGGAGUCGAUGACCACGAUCCAGUCUGUCAAGGCACGACAAAGCUUCGA